RNAcentral lists this ribosomal RNA (440 nucleotides) under uncultured bacterium. Its description in RNAcentral is "partial 16S ribosomal RNA". It matches the Rfam family "Bacterial small subunit ribosomal RNA", at positions 338 to 795 of the family's 1533-position model. The record is from RNAcentral.
CCUACGCGUGGCAGCAGUGGGGGAUAUUGCACAAUGGGGGGAACCCUGAUGCAGCGACGCCGCGUGGGUGAAGGAGCGUUUCGGCGCGUAAAGCCCUAUCGGCAGGGAAGAAGAUGACGGUACCUGACCAAGAAGCCCCGGCUAACUACGUGCCAGCAGCCGCGGUAAUACGUAGGGGGCAAGCGUUAUCCGGAUUUACUGGGUGUAAAGGGGUCGCGGACGGAAAUGAAAGCAAGGAGUGAAAGCCCGGGUCGCAACCCCCGGACUGCUCUGGAAACGGUGCGGCUGGAGUGCAGGAGAGGUAAGUGGAAUUCCUAGUGUAGCGGUGAAAUGCGUAGAUAUUAGGAGGAACACCAGUGGCGAAGGCGGCUUACUGGACUGUAACUGACGUUGAGGCUCGAAAGCGUGGGGAGCAAACAGGAUUAGAUACCCGGGUAGUC